RNAcentral lists this ribosomal RNA (468 nucleotides) under uncultured bacterium. RNAcentral's name for it is "partial 16S ribosomal RNA". It matches the Rfam family "Bacterial small subunit ribosomal RNA", at positions 28 to 507 of the family's 1533-position model. The record is from RNAcentral.
GACGAACGCUGGCGGCGUGCUUAACACAUGCAAGUCGAACGGACAGGCCCUGCUUUUGUGGGGUUCUCGAUUGGCGAACGGGUGAGUAACACGUGAGUAACCUGCCCUUGACUUUGGGAUAACUUCAGGAAACUGGGGCUCAUACCGGAUAGGAGCUCCUGCUGCAUGGUGGGGGUUGGAAAGUUUCGGCGGUUGGGGAUGGACUCGCGGCUUAUCAGCUUGUUGGUGGGGUAGUGGCUUACCAAGGCUUUGACGGGUAGCCGGCCUGAGAGGGUGACCGGGCACAUUGGGACUGAGAUACGGCCCAGAAUCCUACGGGAGGCAGCAGUGGGGAAUAUUGCACAAUGGGGGGAAGCCUGAUGCAGCAACGCCGCGUGCGGGAUGACGGCUUUCGGGUUGUAAACCGCUUUCGCCUGUGACGAAGCGUGAGUGACGGUAAUGGGUAAAGAAGCACCGGCUAACUACGUG